This 4057-nucleotide long non-coding RNA is filed under the name Homo sapiens (human). RNAcentral's name for it is "HSALNT0106252". Lineage: Eukaryota; Metazoa; Chordata; Mammalia; Primates; Hominidae. The record is from RNAcentral.
CUCGCGCUGUCUCCUCCUCCUCCUCUGCGGGGGAAACCGCUGCACCCAAACCGGGAGCAGCUGCGAGCAGGGGGCAGGGCGCGGGCUGAAAGGCGAGCCGAAGGUUCAAACCUCCGCGGCGCGGGCGGGGGCGGAGGGCAACAGCAGGACGGCCCCCAGGUCCCGAGAAGGCGUGGCAGUGGUCGGCCCAGGUGUCAGGGAACCUGGCCUGAGACCCCUGCAUUUCCAAGCUUCUUUCCUGGUCAGAGGAAACGUGAACCAAAGGUAGUUCAGCUAAACAGACCACCUCGAGCCGGGUUCGAGGCAUCUGUCUCGAGGGCAAGACAGUAUUUUUUGCACGACAGAAAGUUACACCAUCCAUUUUUUUCCGUGGGGGAAAUCAUUGCGCCCCUUCCCCCAAAAUGUCGCGCAAGAAGAAUGACCUCCCGCUACCCAGACCUUCGCCAGUGUCCCCCACCCCACCCCCACCCGGGCGCUGGGUGUGGAUUGGGCGGAGGGAGGCUAUAUGGGAGCUUAAAGCAUGAGGUCAUGAGCGGAGGAGACUGCUGCCAAAAGCACCCGAGGUUUUUGUGUUUUUUGAGGGGUAACGGUUCUCCAUCUUCAGCAGUGGAAAGUCCUCCCGCCUACCCUACCAAUUCUGGGGCACGUGGACCACAGAGUCCCUGAAAAGAGGAGGGGACCCGGGCUAUUUCGCUUAAUGAGCGUUUGGCGCGUGCCCAGCCCUUUAUGGAGCCCUUCCACAUAAGCAAAGAAAGCCGAGGGACAGCGCACAGUGUUGCGGCGACUGGGAAAGGCUUCAGAUGCUCGAUGUCCCCCGCCCUCUUUCCUCAGUCCUCGGUCAUCUUCCAAGUGGGCUGCUUUCUGCGAUAGCUUCCUGUCCCCCUCCGACCCAUUCCUCCCAAGCGACUAAAACUCCUAAUGACAUUAUUUUAAAGCCUUCAAAACCCUCUUCCAUUGCCCUUAGAAUAAAGCCAAGUUGUGAUUUCGCCUCUACAGACCUCUCUACCCGCCCAGCUCUUCCUCGGAUAUUGUAAGCCCCGUCAAGCUUUCUUUGUUCAAGGGGUGGAGGAGGGGGCGCCUAACCUUUCCCCUUCCACCUCUUCUUACUAACUCCUGCUGGACCUUCAAGAUUUGACUCAACUGUCAGUAACUUCAAGAUGCCUUCCUGAGGGUACACCCAGGUCUCUACCUCAGGGGAAAAGACCUACCCUAGGUCUCCUGGCAGCAGCGCUGUGGCCGGAGUUGGCCCCAGUGGCGGCCUUUUUCCAAGCGGAGGAGGAACAGCCAAGCUAAGCUUGACCACCGUCACCGCCCAGGGACCUGAGCGGGAGCUGGCUAGGACAAAACCUCAAAACGGGACUUGGGAAAACCGCACCACCCAGAAAACUCAGCCCCUCCACCUCCCUCCCAGCACACACACACACCCUCUUAAUCUAAAACUCCUCCCCGGGGCAGAUAAGGAACCUAUUCGGAGAGUUAAGUUAAUUGCCCCAGGUCAAUGUGGAAAUUCACAGCCUGUCUUUCCAGCUCCUAAACCAGAAGCUGCAGAGAAGGAAGGAUUUGGGAUUUGCGGCUACACAGCCAAGGACGCUUUUGUCAUCUUCAAAGGACCCCCUACACCCUACACGCUUGGCCCGCUCUGUUCAUUGCCAACAGAGUGAUGAGCCCACGGGGUUGAGGCUGCAGUGAGCAGAUUGCCCCACUGCACUCCAGCCUGGGUGACAGCGCAAGACUCUGUCUCAAAAAAUAAAAUUAUAUAUAUAGAGAGAGGGAGAGAGAGAGAGAGAAAGAGAGCACCAAAAGGACUGGGAAACACCGGCAGAUGCACAGACAAUGCAUCCCUGAUUUUACCAAUAGACUUGACUCCCAACAAUGCAUACUCUUGAAGGCAAUCCACAGGUUGAAUAAACCAAGUCCAUGAGCGCUGGGUCUGGAAUCUUUCUACAAUCAGGGUCAGAAGGAGGGUGACUGAAAUUAAAAUAUUAGCUUGGAUCUUUGAAAUCAGAGUCAGGCUGAAAAAGUCCCAAUCUUAGUUCAAAACCUGUCCUGCAUGACUGAAGCCCUCCUAGGGCUGCACAAAGUAUAAUGGAAUUAUUAUUAUUAUUAUCAUUAGAUCCUAGUCUUACCAUUCUCAGCACUUAUCCCCAUAGCAAAAGACCAUUUUUUAAUGUAAUUUAUUCUUUUGGAAUAGGUUGAAUGCAUUCACAUGGUUCCAAAUUCAAAUAAACAGCAAGAAGUCUCCCUCCCACCCUGUCUGCCACCCACUUGGUUUUCCUUCUCUGGAGGCAACCUGGGUUAGUGGUCAGAAGAUGCAUUUAACUGUUUUCCAGCUGAGGCCUUGUGAGAACUCCUCGGACACCAAUUUAAAUCUUUAUGUCCAGAACUCCUUUCUCCAAUCCAGGUAGAGCCACUCCCCUAUCCUAUCCCCACUCCCACCCUUCCCCCCUUCAGCCUCAAUCCUAAGCAGGCUCUAUUAACAAUGAUGAGCCACCAUUUCCUCGAGCUACUAACAAAUGCAAAUGUUUAAAUACUUUGUGGUUCUUUUUCCUCUUCUACAUUAAUUGCUAACAUUUAUCGAGGGCUUUCCGUGUGCCACGCACUGUGCUAAAUACUAGGCAUGCAUAUUCUUAUUUAAUCUGCCCCAAAUCUUCAUCAUUAUCCUUAUUUACAGAUGCAGACAGAAAUGAAAGUUCAGAGAGAUUAUGUAAUUUGCACCAAUUUGCAUCCAGGCCAACCUGAAUCCAAACGGUCUCACUCUUGUCAGCCCAGAUGGCAUGCAGUGGCACAGUCUAUGGAGGCAAUCAGGGUUAGCUGUCAGCUCACUGUGGCCUCAACCUCCCAGGCGCAAGUGAUCCUCCCACCUCAGCAUCCCCAGUAGCUGGGACUACAGGUGUACGCCACUACCCCCAGCUAAUUUUUGUAUUUUUUUGUAGAGAUGAGGUUCCACCAUUCUUGCCCAGACUGGUUUCGAACUCCUGGACUCAAGCGAUUUGCCUGCCUCGGCCUCAAAAAGUGCUGGGAUUACAUGCAUGAGCCACCACACCCGGACCCUCUCUCUUAAAUAGUGGCCCUUUUGCCUCUCUGCAACACAGGAAAAAUUCUGUUAGCCUGCAUCAGAAGGAGUGGCAUGGAGGCUUUGGAGUUAAGAAGAUUUAAUUCAAAUUAUGUGUCCGGUGCCUGCCAGCAAUGAGACCUUGGUAAGGUUUCUUAACCUCUCUGAGCUGGGACCAUACCUUCUGCGUUGGUUUAAUAUAAAGGUUAAAUGCAUGUAAAUAAAUGACUUCUAAAAUAAAUAACAUUCUAAAAUGUUAGUAACAACUAAAUACAAUAUUUAGAUCUUGUGAGGAUUUGAUUUGAAUAAAUAAGAUUUUUUUAAAAGACAUUUUUGAGACAAAAUGUAGACUAUCUGAUAUUAAGAAAUUAAUCACUUUUUCAGAUAUGAUAAUGGCAUUGCAGUUUUUUUUAAGUUCUUAUCUAUUACAGAUACAUAAUGAGGCAUUUUGAGUGAAAAUAUAUCUAGGAUUUGCUUUCCAAUACUCCAUCCCCUCCCCAUCAAAACACUAAAUAAAUGAAACAAGAUUAGUGAAAUACGGAAAAUUGUUGAAGUUAUUCAUUAUUCCAUUUCCCAUAUGGAACUUUCCAUACUAGUUUCCCUACUGCUGUUGAAUAUUUGACAUGUUUCAAAUACAUUUGAAAUAAAUUUAUUGUCUGAGAUGAUCAGGUUGAAAAAUAAUAAAAUGAAAUAAAUUUAAAAGUAAAAUAAACAUAACCCUUUUAAGCAUUAAAAUUAAAAAUUAUGAGGCUUGUUGAAUUAUUACUGUUAUAAAUAAUUACAUACAUGUAUUUUUGAAACAGUCUUGCUCUUUCACCCAGGCUGCAGUGCAGUGGCAUAAUCACAGUUCACUGCGGCCUCAACCUCCCAGGCUCAGGUGAUCCUUGCACGUCUGCCUCCCAAGUAGCUGGGACUGCAGGUGUGCACCACCAUGCCUGGCUAAAUUUUUCUCUUUUGUAGAGACGGGUUUUGCGAUUUUGCCCACACUGGUCUUAAAGUCCUGGG